RNAcentral lists this long non-coding RNA (796 nucleotides) under Homo sapiens (human). RNAcentral's name for it is "non-protein coding lnc-ELFN2-3:4". The record is from RNAcentral. Lineage: Eukaryota; Metazoa; Chordata; Mammalia; Primates; Hominidae.
UCCCUGUGCAGCGCCCCGUGGGUCCCAGCAGACACAGCACCAUAAUGGGAGACUUCUAGGCCGAGAGGGCAAAAGCUUCAAACAGCAGGCGGCAGCACCAGCUGUGUGGUGGCUGGGAGCUGGUCUAGCCUCCGCCUUCCUUCCAGAAGUCUCCCCAGCAUCCUCAACCAGGUCAGAUCCCCCAGCAUGACUCAACAUCCCUUCGACUUCCCUUCUGCAGCCCUGGCAGGAGCUGUGUUGCAGCGGUGCCUGUUGCAUGUGGAAGUCUCCCUUCAAGGUUUGCAUCAUGGAACUCACCUGGCCCAACCUCUCAGGGAGGAAAAUUCCAACCAGAGAGGGAAAUUUCCCAGUGGCUCCAGCCUCGGGAUCCUGCAACCUGAACACCUACUGGCUUCUUGGGGUCAUCCACCUUCUGCACCGAGAGGUUCUCAAGAGGCCGCUCCUGUACUCUGGGAUGCCUUCUCCUGUCUGCCUGCCCAAAUCCUCGCUGACCUUCAAGUUCCAGCGUCGGGAAGUGCCUGGCCGCAUUUCUUAAAGGUUUUACAAGGAUAGACAUCAUUUCCUCCAAAAGAACACAGAGGGAAUGUUGAGCGCUCCCUUUCCCUACUUCUCCUUCUCAUGAUUAAGCAGGCAUUGUGGCUGUUGAGAUUAAAGCCCCAUGCGGAGAUGCAGGGCACCAGGCUAGAUGGAGCCCAGGUCCCCAGGCAGCGGUGUGGAGAAGACUCAUCAUGUUCACCUGGCCCACCUAUCCAUUUGGACUUUUCAAUAAGAAAUAAAUCAGUUUUGAGAAUGUUUC